RNAcentral lists this ribosomal RNA (257 nucleotides) under Escherichia coli. RNAcentral's name for it is "partial 16S ribosomal RNA". It matches the Rfam family "Bacterial small subunit ribosomal RNA", at positions 1288 to 1533 of the family's 1533-position model. RNAcentral also lists the same sequence under 1 other name. The record is from RNAcentral. Lineage: Bacteria; Pseudomonadati; Pseudomonadota; Gammaproteobacteria; Enterobacterales; Enterobacteriaceae.
UAGUCCGGAUUGGAGUCUGCAACUCGACUCCAUGAAGUCGGAAUCGCUAGUAAUCGUGGAUCAGAAUGCCACGGUGAAUACGUUCCCGGGCCUUGUACACACCGCCCGUCACACCAUGGGAGUGGGUUGCAAAAGAAGUAGGUAGCUUAACCUUCGGGAGGGCGCUUACCACUUUGUGAUUCAUGACUGGGGUGAAGUCGUAACAAGGUAACCGUAGGGGAACCUGCGGUUGGAUCACCUCCUUACCUUAAAGAAGC